Molecule: ribosomal RNA, 588 nt
Filed under: uncultured bacterium
Lineage: Bacteria
Description: bacterial SSU rRNA
Rfam family: Bacterial small subunit ribosomal RNA
Source: RNAcentral
UCCUACGGGAGGCAGCAGUGGGGAAUAUUGGACAAUGGGCGAAAGCCUGAUCCAGCCAUGCCGCGUGUGUGAAGAAGGCCUUUUGGUUGUAAAGCACUUUAAGCGAGGAGGAGGCUACUUGGAUUAAUACUCUAGGAUAGUGGACGUUACUCGCAGAAUAAGCACCGGCUAACUCUGUGCCAGCAGCCGCGGUAAUACAGAGGGUGCGAGCGUUAAUCGGAUUUACUGGGCGUAAAGCGUGCGUAGGCGGCUUUUUAAGUCGGAUGUGAAAUCCCUGAGCUUAACUUAGGAAUUGCAUUCGAUACUGGGAAGCUAGAGUAUGGGAGAGGAUGGUAGAAUUCCAGGUGUAGCGGUGAAAUGCGUAGAGAUCUGGAGGAAUACCGAUGGCGAAGGCAGCCAUCUGGCCUAAUACUGACGCUGAGGUACGAAAGCAUGGGGAGCAAACAGGAUUAGAUACCCUGGUAGUCCAUGCCGUAAACGAUGUCUACUAGCCGUUGGUCUCUUUGAGGGAUUAGUGGCGCAGCUAACGCGAUAGUAGACCGCCUGGGGAGUACGGUCGCAAGACUAAAACUCAAAUGAAUUGACGGA